RNAcentral lists this ribosomal RNA (454 nucleotides) under uncultured Allobrachymonas sp. RNAcentral describes it as "bacterial SSU rRNA". It matches the Rfam family "Bacterial small subunit ribosomal RNA", at positions 923 to 1382 of the family's 1533-position model. Lineage: Bacteria; Pseudomonadati; Pseudomonadota; Betaproteobacteria; Burkholderiales; Comamonadaceae. The record is from RNAcentral.
GCACAAGCGGUGGAUGAUGUGGUUUAAUUCGAUGCAACGCGAAAACCUUACCCACCUUUGACAUGGCAGGAAUCCCGAAGAGAUUUGGGAGUGCUCGAAAGAGAACCUGCACACAGGUGCUGCAUGGCUGUCGUCAGCUCGUGUCGUGAGAUGUUGGGUUAAGUCCCGCAACGAGCGCAACCCUUGCCAUUAGUUGCUACGAAAGGGCACUCUAAUGGGACUGCCGGUGACAAACCGGAGGAAGGUGGGGAUGACGUCAAGUCCUCAUGGCCCUUAUAGGUGGGGCUACACACGUCAUACAAUGGCCGGUACAGAGGGUAGCCAACCCGCGAGGGGGAGCCAAUCCCACAAAGCCGGUCGUAGUCCGGAUCGCAGUCUGCAACUCGACUGCGUGAAGUCGGAAUCGCUAGUAAUCGUGGAUCAGCAUGUCACGGUGAAUACGUUCCCGGGCCUU